RNAcentral lists this long non-coding RNA (7021 nucleotides) under Zea mays. RNAcentral describes it as "long non-coding RNA (ZMAY_LNC003693)". The record is from RNAcentral. Lineage: Eukaryota; Viridiplantae; Streptophyta; Magnoliopsida; Poales; Poaceae.
AACAGUAUUUCUGUAGUACAAUGUGUGAACAGGUACCCUCAAACUAAAGUCGGCAUUGCAGCAAACCGGAAUAAUACGAAGCUUGAUUCAGAGCCGAAGGUGCUGAGCAGGAAAGCUUCGGCGUAACAGCAAAGAGUGGAACCGACUUAAAGAUGAAAAGGCUAUCCAGACCCCGAUAGAUUACUAUAGAGUUAUUAUCAAAUGUAAAGGGCAUGAAUGUAAUUUUGUAAGGGCUGUGUCCCUUGUCUAUAAAUAGGUGAACAGUAUCCCCGUACUGUUCACGCUGACUUGGCAUUCGUUUUUUGCGCCAAGCUUGUACUGUCAUUCCCUUCCGAUUGAAGGUACACCUGUAAUUCGACAAUGUUUCUGUUUAUGCCCUGUCAUAAUAUAUGAUUACUUAUAUUGUCUUUAAUAUUCUUUAUAUUUCAUUCCUCGCUAUUACUUAAUGAAUGUAUGAAGGUAUGUCCUUCAUAACCUUCGUCCGCAAGCCAUUACAUCCUAAGGGAAAUAAUGCUUCGGGGACGAAGGACUUUAACGAUUAACAUUUUCUAUGUUGCCUUGUUCUUAACUCAUAGCAUUUGAGAACAAGCCCCCAACAUUGGCGCCCACCUCCAGUGAACUCACUUCCAUUUCUUGAGUUUUUUCAACACCUUCGGCAAGCAUCACCUUCGUCAUGCCGCCGAAGAAGACUUCAGCACCAGGGGCUGGCACGCUGCAGCCGUUGGACCCCAAUCAAGACGUCCUUUCUCUUAGAGAGGCACGAAGCCAGAAGAGGAAGGCUACCAGUCCAACACCUCCGGAGGAUGAUCUAGAUCAGGAGAUUCAAAAUCUGGAAAUCCUUCAGCAACAGGUUCAACGCAAGAAGGAGAAGAUGGCCAGGCUAGCUGAACUGCAGAGGCAAAUAGACGAAGCCUCUGAAGAAGUUCGCCAUCUUGCUCAGGAUGAGCAACACCGAAGGCCUCAGCAUCAAGAUCUUCAUCAGGAGGGUUUUGCCAACGAAGAUGACUGGUAUGACAAUUUCCAUCAUGGGAAUUUUGUUUUUGAUGAUGCUUCUCCCCUGUCCGCUGAGCUGCAGGCUACACCUUGGCCCCCGUCCUACAAGCCGCCUCAGCUCCCCGUAUUUGAUGGCCACUCAGACCCGAAGCAGUUUUUGAUGAGCUACGAAGCAACAGUGUCUUCGUAUGGUGGCAAUGCUUCGGUCAUGGCCAAGUCUUUCGUUAUGGCUGUCAGAAGCGUUGCUCAAACCUGGUAUUCCUCCCUUCGACCAGGAACGAUCACCUCAUGGCAGAAGCUGAAGGACUUGCUGUUAACUAGCUUUCAAGGGUUUCAGACGAAGCCGGUCACUGCUCAGGCUCUCUUCCAAUGCACUCAGGACCAUGAAGAGUACCUUCAGGCAUAUGUCCGAAGGUUUCUGCGAUUGAGGGCACAGGCGCCAACAGUGCCCAAUGAGAUUGUCAUUGAGGCUAUGAUCAAGGGGCUUCGGCCAGGGCCGUCAGCACAGUAUUUUGCCAGGAAGCCACCACAAACGCUGGAAAAGCUGCUCCAGAAGAUGGACGAAUACAUUCGAGCUGACAAUGAUUUUCGUCAAAGAAGGGAGGAGGCUUUCAGGUUUUCUGAAAUGACCAGGGGCUUCGGAGGAAGGUUUUACCCGAGACAUGUCAGGUCAAUUCACAAUUCCACUCAGAAUGAUGAUAAAGGGAGUCAGCACCAAAGGCCACAAUACUCCUCACAGGCUUCAGGGCAACAACAAAGUUCCUUCCGACCUCCAGCUCCAAGAGGCAGAGGCGCCAGGGGCUUCGGAGGAAGAUUCGGCGAUCAACCAAGAAGAAUCUUUUGCUUAUUCUGCGGUGAGAACAAAGGCCAUACUACCAGGAUGUGCCAUGUCACUAUUCAGAAGCAAAAGGAAAUAGCUGAAGCAGCAGCACAACAAGCUCAGCCGAAGCAGGUUAUGCAUACAGCUUCGUAUCAUUCGCCCUACAUCCCAGAAUAUGUAGGCAACCAUCCUGCAGUCUCUGUUGCUUCGGCGAGUCAGCCUCAAGCUUCCUGGCAACAGCCUCCGCCUCCACCUCCGUUGCAGCAAGGCCAGCAGCCAGAAGGGAGCCAAUACGCUCCGCAACAAAGGGACUUCAGAGAACAGUCCGAAGCUCGCACGGUCAACAGCACUGUGCCAGAAUCAAAGCACAUCUAUUGAUAAAUAUCCUACCUUAAUAGCAAUCUUUUUCAUUCAGUUUUAUUUUCUGUAAUAAAGGACAUUGAUUAGGUUUCAUGUAAUUAGUUUCGUUGAUUCCUACAAAAAAAUAUGUUUUCUUCACAGGCUUGUGAUAAUAAAAAGGACCUUCGAACUAUCGACAAUUCUUCGAAGCAACAAAAAAGUCGUUCUAAGGAACGCAGAGUAAGUUUGAUGAAGUCACAAAAAGUCGUUCCGAAGGGAACGCAGUGUAAGUUUUCUGCUCCAAAGUCGUUCCAAAAGGAAUGCAGAGCAUACAGCGAAAAGUCAACGCUGAUACCGCCUAAGUAAAAGGCGAAGAAGCUCCAAAGACGUUCCUAAGGGAAUGCAGAGCUUACAGCGAAAAGUCAACGCUGAUUCCGCUGAAGUAAAAGGCGAAGAAGCUCCUAAGGGAGGCUUAUAGCAAAAAGUUAAUGCUGGUUCGCAAAAAAGAUUGAGUUUUAUCGCGCAGAUAUGCGUGUACCUUCGGAAUACCACUUUACAUAGCAUAACAUCAUCACAUCAUUUUGCAUAACAUAAGCAUCAUACAUCAUACUGCAUGUGGCAUAAGAAAGAGAUAUGAUAUCAAUCUUCGGGAAAACGCUUUGAAAAAGGAGCAAUUCAUGCCAAGUCACAAGGAGAAAUAAUAUUGAUCUCUGAAGCAUAGCCUUGAGGAAUGAUUCUACGAAGCUUCAACACUUUUCGGGAUACUUCGGAUAUUGUUGUGAUAAAUGGUAAUACUUCUUCACGAAGCAUGAAAAGAAGGGAAGGUGUUUUUUCGCCAGACUCAAAAACGGUACGUAUGUAAAGUUUCAUGCAUCGUAAAGAAUUGAACCAUUAAGAAAAAUAAGACAAAUAUAUUACAUACAGGAUUACAAGAUAUUACACAUGUUACAUUUAAAAUGUUUUUACAAUAGCAUUUAGUCCUCCCUAAGUACCACUUCUGCGGCUUCGUUCAACAGUCGAUCAACAACUUCGUCCAUGAUAUCUUCGGCCAUCUUUUUAAUUUCGUCGUCCCCCUUCGGCUGAGGGUCCGAAGGCGCUUUAGUCGGAUCUGAAGCAGGACACGGCUACAUUGCUAUUACAAAUCGCAAACAGAUCUUAAAAGCCUAAAGAUUGCAACACGAUAAAAACUAUUAUUUAGUACCUAAUUGACCUUCGGCUUCUGCGCUCUUGGCAGCAGCCUCAGCUACUUCUCUGGCAUCAUGAAUGCCCUUUUCACUUCUUCGAAUAAUUUCUCCGGCCAUUUCUCGGCCACCAUUGUCCCAGAUAUCGGUAAAAAACUUUCCACCAAUUAUGCUAGCUUCGGCCGAAGGAUCUUUUGUAUCUUCAAAGGACAAAGCAGCUUCGGACUGUGCUAAAAUUUUUACAUGUUCGCAGCCCUUCUUCUCUAAAAUGGUGGCAAUCCCUCUGGCGCCAGAGAAGGCACAUAUAUCUCCUCGGCUAUUUAAAAUUUCUUCGAAGGCUUCAGCUUCGUGGUCAAUCCAUUCAAUGACACCUUCGGGAUUGCCUCUCGAAAAGUUUUCCUCACUUGAGAAUGCGCCGACCUUGGCGAAGCUAGCCUUUAAUUUUUUAACACAAUCUAUAGAUUUAUUGUAGCAUCUCUUUUUGGAUGAACGAAGCUCUUCAACAGUCACUUCUAGGUGAUCUGCCCAUUGAUCGCUGAGUUCACGUUUUGUUUCUUCAAGUAUACGUUCUUCUUUGGCUCUGGCCAGUUGUUUCCGAAGGUCUUCAAUUUCGCGUUUCUGAGCUUCAGCUUGACUUUUAAAAGCAGCUUCGUCCUCCUUUAUUUUAUCUAUCAAUGAGUAUAAAAUUUUGUCUUUUUCGAGACCUUCGUUCCUCAGCUCAAUUACUUCGGAACGAAGGUUGCUCAGGGCUAUAGUACACCCUUCGUCUUCAGCAUCUUUCUGUGCCCUGAGGGCAUUGCUGAGUAUUAGGCCCUGCAGAACAUGUCUGUGUCAAUAGUUUUAAACAAACGAAAAAUUUUGAACUCGACAAAAAUACAAGAAUUCCAUUUGUCGCACCUUUAAACUGUUGUAAGCUAGGCUGUCAGCUAGAUCGUUCUUUGACAGCACCGAAAGUCCGUCUUCUAAAAUUGGGAAUCCGAAGCUUCUGCUCAUUUCCCGACAGACAGAAAUUUCCUUGCUGUCGGGGAGACAAUACAAGAAAUCUUCUUCUCCACUACCAUUAAAUAUCAACGCCCCCUUCGGAUAUUUCAACUUUUGGGCAUAGUGCUGGGCCUCUUGUUCUUCUUUUUCUGAUAAUUUUUUCCCCGAAGCAUGACGAAAAAUAUAAUCACGAAUUUUGGGGGAUGCUUCGGGGGUAACAACACCAGUUUCUUCAACAAAGGUUGGCUUUGUUAUUUUUUCUGCCUCACUUUCCAAGGCUUUUGCCUUUGCGGGCUCUGAGGGCCCAGCUUCGGCUUCAAUUUCCUGCUCUGGAGCCGUAGAACCAGAAAUUUCAGUUGUUGUUUCAGAAGCAACAGCAGCCUUCUUCGGAGGUGUGCUUGAAGAUUUGAUUGUUUCCAGUACAUCUAGCACAUUGGCCAUUCUCUUUCUUUUCGGGGUCAUGGCUGGCAUUUUUUGGUUCUUUACUGUCUCAAUGUUUGCUGCAGGACUCAAAACUCCGGAUGUUUUGGAGCCCUCAGCUGCUUCUUUUAUUUCUUCAAUUUUUUCUGUGGACGGCGCUUCGGCUUUCUCUUCUGUUUCUGAUAACAAAAUGUUUGAUUGUUCCGAUUCUAUUUUUGGUGGCACUUCGGCCGUUUCUGCGACCUCUGGCAACAAGGCUGGCUCGGUUGGUUUUUCAGCUUCGGUGGCCGAAGAAGUUUUUCCGGUAAACUCGGGCACCGAAGCUGGUUCAAUAUAACGCGGCCGAUGCGUAAGAACCUUUAUCUUUUUCCUUUUCGGUUCUGGCUCGCUAGGAGCAGCUGCAGCUUCUUCUUUUGCAGAGGUUGUGUUUUUUCUCUUCUGCUUUCGAGUGGGAUAGCAAUAGUCAGGGUAGACAAACCCGAUGGCAUCAAAUACCCGAUUCAGUCUCUUCUUCUUUCGGCCUCCGAAGGUUGCUGACAUUGCAUUAUCUUCGGCCUUCGAGUAGGUCCCAAGCAGCUCAUCACUUAAAUUGUCAAUGCUUUUCAACCACUCAUCAUCUGGCUCAAUAAAUUUAUCUCCAAAUUUAAAAGUGUACUUAAACCUGAUAAGUCCACCUUCGUCGGCCUCUUUAAUGGUUUCUUGAGGCAUUUCCCAUUUCUCCGCAAGCGGCCACACCCUGAAGGCAAUAUGCUCUUGUACUAAGUCCCUUGUUCCUAUAAAAGAGCAGACAACGCCGAAGGCUCUUUGACACUCUUCGGCGGCUUCAUUCAUUUCAACCUUCGGCCUCCGAAGGCCGAAGCUUUGCCAAAUAGGACGCAUGAUUAUACCUUUGAUAUCUUCCCGUGCUUUCAGAUCAUUUUUUACAUAGAACCAUUCUGUCAUCCAGCCGCUAGGCCACCUCUUCCGAAAAGUUGGCACGGGGCAGCUUGACCCAGAUCGAGAAACAAAACUGUAGCAGCCAAAGUUAUUGUGAUACUGCUCUUUACCCCAAGGUAUUGUCUCGUAUGAUAAUUCGUGCAUAUUGCAAAAACUUUUUGCAUCAGGCUUCAGACCUUGGCUUCGCACGGCCCACACGAAGAUGUUCAGCCUUAUGAUUGCCUCGGGGGUAAGUUGGUGAAGAUAAACCUCAAAAAUCUUCAGCACCUCCACGACGAAGCUGCUCAAGGGCAAUCGCAGCCCAGCCUUCAGAAAGCUUCGGAACACUACGACUUCAUUCUCUUCAGGGUGUGGGCAAGUCUUCUCCCCUUCGUCGGCCCUCACAACGGACAAAUCCCGGAAAUAUCUUCCUCUCAUGUUAACAAGAUGAUUCUCUUUGAUAGUUGAUUUACCAUAAACUGAGUGGCUUGGUCGCCAGGGGCGAUCUUCGGAGUCUUCGCCACCACUGUCCACAUCAUAACUUUCACUGUCACCAGUAUCUUCAGACAGCCCUUCCAGAAUCUCAUUGGUGAUUUUUUCUGUGUUGGUCUUCGACAUCGCUAUAAGAAAUCCUAAGUUCUUCUCCUCAUCAAGACUCAGCUUCAUCUCAGCAGCAGCCUUCUUAGCAGCUUCAGACAUCUUCGGAAACACUAAAAAACUGUUUUUAAAGCCGAAGCUUCAAAGCUAAAAGCUUAGCAAAUCACAGUGCACAGGAGCUAAAAAUUGAGUGAGCGGGAGUGGUUGGCCAGAAAGCGUGCAAAAUGAGUUUGCGGUAUGGCCGUAUUUAUACGCUCGGUGCGUUGAAAGUUGAAAGACCCCACUUGUCAUUGAAUGUUGCUAUUCUAGCAAAGGGAAGGUGUUUUUUUCGGACCUUCGGCGUAAAGCCUUCGUCCAUAUCGCAAUCUAAAUUUAUUAUUUCAAACAAAUUGAUAUUGCGAGGGGCUACUGUUGGGGACCUUCGGCGUCCGAAGGUCCUCAAAAACAGGAUUUAAUAGUAUUUCUGUAGUACAAUGUGUGAACAGGUACCCUCAAACUAAAGUCGGCAUUGCAGCAGACCGGAAUAAUACGAAGCUUGAUUCAGAGCCGAAGGUGCUGAGCACGAAAGCUUCGGCGUAACAGCAAAGAGUGGAACCGACUUAAAGAUGAAAAGGCUAUCCAGACCCCGAUAGAUUACUAUAGAGUUAUUAUCAAAUGUAAAGGGCAUGAAUGUAAUUUUGUAAGGGCUGUGUCCCUUGUCUAUAAAUAGGUGAACAGUAUCCCCGUACUGUUCACGCUGACUUGGCAUUCGUUUUUUGCGCCAAGCUUGUACUGU